GAUGAACGCUGGCGGCGUGCCUAAUACAUGCAAGUCGAGCGAACGGACGAGAAGCUUGCUUCUCUGAUGUUAGCGGCGGACGGGUGAGUAACACGUGGAUAACCUACCUAUAAGACUGGGAUAACUUCGGGAAAGCUGAGCUAAUACCGGAUAAUAUUUUGAACCGCAUGGUUCAAAAGUGAAAGACGGUCUUGCUGUCACUUAUAGAUGGAUCCGCGCUGCAUUAGCUAGUUGGUAAGGUAACGGCUUACCAAGGCAACGAUGCAUAGCCGACCUGAGAGGGUGAUCGGCCACACUGGAACUGAGACACGGUCCAGACUCCUACGGGAGGCAGCAGUAGGGAAUCUUCCGCAAUGGGCGAAAGCCUGACGGAGCAACGCCGCGUGAGUGAUGAAGGUCUUCGGAUCGUAAAACUCUGUUAUUAGGGAAGAACAUAUGUGUAAGUAACUGUGCACAUCUUGACGGUACCUAAUCAGAAAGCCACGGCUAACUACGUG
This 497-nucleotide ribosomal RNA is filed under the name uncultured bacterium. RNAcentral's name for it is "partial 16S ribosomal RNA". It matches the Rfam family "Bacterial small subunit ribosomal RNA", at positions 28 to 507 of the family's 1533-position model. The record is from RNAcentral.